GAAAUUAUGUAUACACCUCAUGUGUAUAUAGACAAUUUUUUUUCCCAUAUAUUCACUUGUAAAAAGGGUAAAUAAAUUUUAUAAUUUAAUCACAUGUGUAUUUUUAUUUUAUUUAUAAGUUUUUUAUGAAUAAAAUUAGUAGUAAUAUACAUGCUUCGUGCGAUAAAGACAU
Molecule: small RNA, 172 nt
Filed under: Plasmodium falciparum NF54
Lineage: Eukaryota; Apicomplexa; Aconoidasida; Haemosporida; Plasmodiidae
Also listed under: 2 other names
Description: partial Plasmodium RNA of unknown function RUF4
Rfam family: RNA of unknown function RUF4
Source: RNAcentral